CCAUAGUUGUGUGACCUAGUGGCUAUGGCUGGCGGUGGAAAAAAUAAGGAGGCACGGAAGCAGUAAGUGUUCCAAGUACAGGUCUGAAGCUCUGCACAAAUUCCACCUUGGAUGUUUUUGGAAUCUUGGAGCUUGGUAAGGUAAUGUGUAGUAAGCCUUUAAUCAUAUCUAGUUGACAAUAUAGAAAGAUUUCUAAAUGGAAAAUGCUCAA
RNAcentral lists this long non-coding RNA (211 nucleotides) under Macaca mulatta (Rhesus monkey). RNAcentral's name for it is "lncRNA (ENSMMUG00000062852.1)". Lineage: Eukaryota; Metazoa; Chordata; Mammalia; Primates; Cercopithecidae. The record is from RNAcentral.